Molecule: ribosomal RNA, 521 nt
Filed under: Sipyloidea biplagiata
Lineage: Eukaryota; Metazoa; Arthropoda; Insecta; Phasmatodea; Lonchodidae
Description: partial 16S ribosomal RNA
Rfam family: Bacterial large subunit ribosomal RNA
Source: RNAcentral
AACAUCUUUUCUUGGUAUUUAUUUGAGAUUUGACCUGCCCAAUGAUAAUUAUUUAAUGGCCGCAGUAUUCUGACUGUGCAAAGGUAGCAUAAUCAUUAGUUCAUUAAUUGUGGACUUGUAUGAAUGGUUGGACGAAAUAUUAACUGUCUUAUUAUUUAAAAUUAGAAUUUAAAUUUUGAGUUAAAAUGCUUAAAUUUUAUUAUUGGACGAGAAGACCCUAUAGAUCUUUAUUUUAAUUUUUAUUAAUUAUUUUAGUUUAUUUAUUUUUAAUAGGUUUUAUUAUUUUGUUGGGGUGAUGUUGAGAUAUAAUUAACUCUUUAUUAUAUUAUACAAAUAUUUUUGUUUAUAUGACCUUAUUUUAUUGUUAUAAGAUUAGAUACCUUAGGGAUAACAGCGUAAUUUUCUUUGAGAGUUCAUAUCGACAGGAAAGAUUGCGACCUCGAUGUUGGAUUAAGAUUAUUUUUAGGUGUAGUCGCUUAAUUAAUAAGUCUGUUCGACUUUUAAAUUCUUACAUGAUCUGA